RNAcentral lists this long non-coding RNA (238 nucleotides) under Paramuricea clavata. The record is from RNAcentral. Lineage: Eukaryota; Metazoa; Cnidaria; Anthozoa; Malacalcyonacea; Plexauridae.
UAAUUACAGUCAAACCGGAUGUUCUCUUGCAAGCAACAUUGCAAUAUUGUCUCACAAUAUUGCAAUAUUGAUAGGGAGAUUGCUCUGAGCAAUUUGCAAGCGAGACGAACAAAUUGCAAGUUGAAAUUCACAAAAGAUUUGUAAACAAAGCCUGUGAUUGGACUAUAAGAAAAAGGGAAGCACCAAUCCAAUUGCUCAGACUAUUUGAUUGGCUUCCUUUUUACUAAUAGUCCAAUCA